AUAACUUUGCUACCGGGUAAAGUUAAUUCAAGGUGUUCUUAAGCAUUCCAAUAGGUCUUAGAAGGGAUGAUUAUGAACACCUUUUUACU
This 89-nucleotide non-coding RNA is filed under the name unclassified sequences. The record is from RNAcentral.